This 462-nucleotide long non-coding RNA is filed under the name Ananas comosus (pineapple). RNAcentral's name for it is "long non-coding RNA (ACOM_LNC012662)". Lineage: Eukaryota; Viridiplantae; Streptophyta; Magnoliopsida; Poales; Bromeliaceae. The record is from RNAcentral.
GGUAUAAAUAUAUAUAUUAUUAUUAUGUGUAGAGUUAUUAUGAUAUCGAAAGUAUAAAAAAGUUGAUGCUUCUCACUUUUGGCCUUUGGAUCGGGAUAAUAGUAGUGGUCCCCUAUAGAAUUGAGUAGUACCCUUAUCCCCCAUAGAAUAAUUUUGAAGAAUAAUUUUUGUUGUUCCCGAGAACAGGAUAUAUUCCGCUAUAAACUAAAAUAAGUUGUAAAUUACGUUUGAAUAUUGUUUGUUUGUUUCUAGAAAAUAUUCUUAAUAAUGUUUAGAUGUUUUUGUUGAAAUAAGAUGUUGAAAAGAUAAAAAUUAAAUAGAAUAACAAAUUUGCACUUGAAUAUAAUAGUCAAAUAUGAUUUAAUAAAUUAAGUAUUAAAAUAAAUUAAUUCACAAAUUAAGUAUAUUUGUACAUUAUUUUAAAAUAUUAAUUUAGUAGUAUUCAAUUUAAAUUUUUUUUUU